GCCGGGCGUUGUGGCGGGCGCCUGUAGUCCCAACUACUUGGGAGGCUGAGGCAAGAGAAUCGCUUAAGCCCAAGAGUUUGAGGUUGCUGUGAGCUGUGACGCCACGGCACUCUGCCCAGGGCGACAUAGACUCUGUCUCAAAAAAAAAAAAAAAGCUUGCGUCGGGGAAGAAAAAUAAUAUGCUAUGUGGUAGGGUCUGGCGUUUUGUGACUUGUACUCUUUAAUGCGCUUGAAUUUUUUUUUUUUUUUAAGUUUGAGGCAGAGUCUUACUUUCUUGCCCUGGUACAGGGCCGUGGCGUCGUAGCUCAUAGCAGCCUCAAACUCCUGGGCUUAAGCGAUCCCCUUGCCUCAU
RNAcentral lists this signal recognition particle RNA (352 nucleotides) under Otolemur garnettii (small-eared galago). Its description in RNAcentral is "Metazoan signal recognition particle RNA". It matches the Rfam family "Metazoan signal recognition particle RNA". Rfam says of the family: The signal recognition particle (SRP) is a universally conserved ribonucleoprotein. It is involved in the co-translational targeting of proteins to membranes. Lineage: Eukaryota; Metazoa; Chordata; Mammalia; Primates; Galagidae. The record is from Rfam by way of RNAcentral.